This 643-nucleotide ribosomal RNA is filed under the name uncultured bacterium. RNAcentral's name for it is "bacterial SSU rRNA". It matches the Rfam family "Bacterial small subunit ribosomal RNA", at positions 232 to 885 of the family's 1533-position model. The record is from RNAcentral.
CGCGGCCUAUCAGCUUGUUGGUGAGGUAAUGGCUCACCAAGGCUUCGACGGGUAGCCGGCCUGAGAGGGCGACCGGCCACACUGGGACUGAGAUACGGCCCAGACUCCUACGGGAGGCAGCAGUGGGGAAUAUUGCACAAUGGGCGCAAGCCUGAUGCAGCAACGCCGCGUGCGGGAUGACGGCCUUCGGGUUGUAAACCGCUUUCAGUAGGGACGAAGCUAACGUGACGGUACCUACAGAAGAAGGACCGGCUAACUACGUGCCAGCAGCCGCGGUGAUACGUAGGGUCCGAGCGUUGUCCGGAAUUAUUGGGCGUAAAGGGCUUGUAGGCGGUCCGUCGCGUCAGGAGUGAAAACUCGGGGCUUAACCCCGAGCCUGCUUUUGAUACGGGCGGACUAGAGGGAUGCAGGGGAGAACGGAAUUCCUGGUGGAGCGGUGGGAUGCGCAGAUAUCAGGAGGAACACCGGUGGCGAAGGCGGUUCUCUGGGCAUCACCUGACGCUGAGAAGCGAAAGCGUGGGGAGCAAGCAGGCUUAGAUACCCUGGUAGUCCACGCCGUAAACGGUGGGCACUAGGUGUGGGGGACAUUCCACGUUCUCCGUGCCGAAGCUAACGCAUUAAGUGCCCCGCCUGGGGAGUACGG